Molecule: ribosomal RNA, 508 nt
Filed under: fungal sp. PTFL006
Lineage: Eukaryota; Fungi
Description: eukaryotic LSU rRNA
Rfam family: 5.8S ribosomal RNA (bases 152-305)
Source: RNAcentral
CUCACCUCGGUGAGGGCUCCAGCUUGUCUGAAUUAUUCACCCAUGUCUUUUGCGCACUUCUUGUUUCCUGGGCGGGUUCGCCCGCCACCAGGACCAAACCAUAAACCUUUUUGUAAUUGCAAUCAGCGUCAGUAAACAAUGUAAUUAUUACAACUUUCAACAACGGAUCUCUUGGUUCUGGCAUCGAUGAAGAACGCAGCGAAAUGCGAUACGUAGUGUGAAUUGCAGAAUUCAGUGAAUCAUCGAAUCUUUGAACGCACAUUGCGCCCUUUGGUAUUCCAAAGGGCAUGCCUGUUCGAGCGUCAUUUGUACCCUCAAGCUUUGCUUGGUGUUGGGCGUCUUUGUCUCUCACGAGACUCGCCUUAAAAUGAUUGGCAGCCGACCUACUGGUUUCGGAGCGCAGCACAAUUCUUGCACUUUGAAUCAGCCUUGGUUGAGCAUCCAUCAAGACCACAUUUUUUUCAACUUUUGACCUCGGAUCAGGUAGGGAUACCCGCUGAACUUAAGC